This 76-nucleotide transfer RNA is filed under the name Subdoligranulum sp. RNAcentral describes it as "tRNA-Ala". It matches the Rfam family "tRNA". Rfam says of the family: Transfer RNA (tRNA) molecules are approximately 80 nucleotides in length. Their secondary structure includes four short double-helical elements and three loops (D, anti-codon, and T loops). Further hydrogen bonds mediate the characteristic L-shaped molecular structure. tRNAs have two regions of fundamental functional importance: the anti-codon, which is responsible for specific mRNA codon recognition, and the 3' end, to which the tRNAs corresponding amino acid is attached (by aminoacyl-tRNA synthetases). tRNAs cope with the degeneracy of the genetic code in two manners: having more than one tRNA (with a specific anti-codon) for a particular amino acid; and 'wobble' base-pairing, i.e. permitting non-standard base-pairing at the 3rd anti-codon position. Lineage: Bacteria; Bacillati; Bacillota; Clostridia; Eubacteriales; Oscillospiraceae. The record is from RNAcentral.
CGGGGUAUAGCUCACUUGAGAGAGCACAUGCUUUGCAAGCAGGGGGUCAAGGGUUCGAAUCCCUUUAUCUCCACCA